UGGGGAAUUUUGGACAAUGGGCGCAAGCCUGAUCCAGCCAUACCGCGUGAGUGAAGAAGGCCUUCGGGUUGUAAAGCUCUUUCAGACGGAAAGAAACGGUUACGGCUAAUACCCGUGACUAAUGACGGUACCGUAAGAAGAAGCACCGGCUAACUACGUGCCAGCAGCCGCGGUAAUACGUAGGGUGCGAGCGUUAAUCGGAAUUACUGGGCGUAAAGCGUGCGCAGGCGGUUUGGUAAGACAGAUGUGAAAUCCCCGGGCUCAACCUGGGAAUGGCAUUUGUGACUGUAGAGCUAGAGUACGGUAGAGGGGGAUGGAAUUCCGCGUGUAGCAGUGAAAUGCGUAGAUAUGCGGAGGAACACCGAUGGCGAAGGCAAUCCCCUGGACCUGUACUGACGCUCAUGCACGAAAGCGUGGGGAGCAAACAGGAUUAGAUACCCCGGUAGUCCCUGAGCGGGCUGGCAAGGCGCAU
This 472-nucleotide ribosomal RNA is filed under the name uncultured bacterium. RNAcentral describes it as "bacterial SSU rRNA". It matches the Rfam family "Bacterial small subunit ribosomal RNA", at positions 355 to 825 of the family's 1533-position model. The record is from RNAcentral.